RNAcentral lists this ribosomal RNA (253 nucleotides) under uncultured bacterium. RNAcentral's name for it is "partial 16S ribosomal RNA". It matches the Rfam family "Bacterial small subunit ribosomal RNA", at positions 524 to 776 of the family's 1533-position model. The record is from RNAcentral.
UACAGAGGGGGCAAGCGUUAUUCGGAAUUACUGGGCGUAAAGCGUGCGCAGGCGGUGAUGUAAGACAGGUGUGAAAUCCCCGGGCUUAACCUGGGAACUGCAUUUGUGACUGCAUCGCUGGAGUGCGGCAGAGGGGGAUGGAAUUCCGCGUGUAGCAGUGAAAUGCGUAGAUAUGCGGAGGAACACCGAUGGCGAAGGCAAUCCCCUGGGCCUGCACUGACGCUCAUGCACGAAAGCGUGGGGAGCAAACAGG